This 304-nucleotide long non-coding RNA is filed under the name Ricinus communis (castor bean). RNAcentral describes it as "long non-coding RNA (RCOM_LNC000805)". The record is from RNAcentral. Lineage: Eukaryota; Viridiplantae; Streptophyta; Magnoliopsida; Malpighiales; Euphorbiaceae.
CCCCUACUUUCUCUCUCCACCGGAUCUUCUGUCUCCGGCCACCACAGGCGUCGCCACUGCUGCCAGAAGAGAGCCCUCGCCGAGAGGAGCCGAUCGCCACUCGACUCGGCCGCCAACACCGCCGGAAACGGCCGGAACGGCCUCCGGAAGCCGCUGCUCCACACGUCGCGCGAUUCCGCCGCCUCACGCUGCCGCUGCUGCAGCACUCGCCGACGCCAGCAUCGCACGCCCGGCAGUCGGCCGCCACCGGCUGACGACGCAGCACCCGGCUCCUCCUUCUUCUCGCGCGGCGCCCGCUUUUUUC